GACGAACGCUGGCGGCGUGCCUAAUACAUGCAAGUAGAACGCAGUUGCGAACGGGUGAGUAACGCGUAGGUAACUGCCUCAAAGCGGGGGGUAAAUUACGGAAACGAUAGCUAAUACCGCAUACUGUGAGAUGGACCUGCUUUGGUUUAGGUUGUUGGUGUGGUAAAGGCUAACCAAGGCGACGAUACAUAGCCGACCUGAGAGGGUGAUGGGCCAACAUGUGACAUAGGAACGGCCCAGAAUCCUACGGGGGGCAGCAGUGGGGAAUGUUCGGCGAUUGGCGGAAGUCUGGACGAGUAACGGCGCGGGAGUGAAGAAGGUUUUCGGGUUGUAAAACUAUGUUGGUAGAGGAGCGGUAACUAACCAGAAAGCGACGGCUAACUACGUGCCAGCAGCCGCGGUAAUAC
Molecule: ribosomal RNA, 407 nt
Filed under: uncultured bacterium
Lineage: Bacteria
Description: partial 16S ribosomal RNA
Rfam family: Bacterial small subunit ribosomal RNA
Source: RNAcentral